UGGGGAAUAUUGGACAAUGGGCGCAAGCCUGAUCCAGCCAUGCCGCGUGAGUGAUGAAGGCCCUAGGGUUGUAAAGCUCUUUCACCGGUGAAGAUAAUGACGGUAACCGGAGAAGAAGCCCCGGCUAACUUCGUGCCAGCAGCCGCGGUAAUACGAAGGGGGCUAGCGUUGUUCGGAAUUACUGGGCGUAAAGCGCACGUAGGCGGACUAUUUAGUCAGGGGUGAAAUCCCGGGGCUCAACCCCGGAACUGCCCUUGAUACUGGUAGUCUUGAGUUCGAGAGAGGUGAGUGGAAUUCCGAGUGUAGAGGUGAAAUUCGUAGAUAUUCGGAGGAACACCAGUGGCGAAGGCGGCUCACUGGCUCGAUACUGACGCUGAGGUGCGAAAGCGUGGGGAGCAAACAGGAUUAGAUACCCCCGUAGUCC
RNAcentral lists this ribosomal RNA (424 nucleotides) under uncultured prokaryote. RNAcentral's name for it is "bacterial SSU rRNA". It matches the Rfam family "Bacterial small subunit ribosomal RNA", at positions 355 to 796 of the family's 1533-position model. The record is from RNAcentral.